Felis catus (domestic cat) is the source of this 409-nucleotide long non-coding RNA. RefSeq lists it as uncharacterized. The record is from RefSeq and is a predicted model, not a curated record. Lineage: Eukaryota; Metazoa; Chordata; Mammalia; Carnivora; Felidae. The transcript has 2 exons.
CCCUGCAGGAGAGCAAGUAAGGGACGGCUCUAGUCGUGUCGGCCAUCCAAGAUCCCCUCCACUCUCCUCUCGGCAGGACCUAAGGGACAGGCGCCCCGCUAAAGCCUCCGCAAACCUGGGAAAGGGCUGAGCCACAGAAGCAGCACCCGGACCGGUUUACCCAGUUCCAGGAACCUGGGGCGAGGUCCGCGCGUCCGAGCCGGGAAGGCGCAGGCCUAGGCCGGGCGGGGCGGGGCCUCGAUCUCCGCCAGGAAAUAGGAGUCCCAGGCGGGGAGUUUGAGGCUGCUGAAGCUCCCCACGUGUCCAGAGGAGCCCAGAACCCCACACCGGUGUCCACGGGGAACUAGAGCCCCCGCAGCAGUGUCUCGUGGCGCUCGGAUCCACACACGUGUGCUCAGGGGGGUCCACA